UUCUGGCUCAGGAUGAACGCUAGCUACAGGCUUAACACAUGCAAGUUGAGGGGCAGCAUGACGAUAGCUUGCUAUUGUUGAUGGCGACCGGCGCACGGGUGAGUAACGCGUAUCCAACCUGCCCUUGUCCAUCGGAUAACCCGUCGAAAGGCGGCCCAACACGAUAUGCAGUCCACAGAAGGCAUCUGACGCGGACGAAAUGUGAAGGAGAAGGAUGGGGAUGCGUCUGAUUAGCUUGUUGGCGGGGUAACGGCCCACCAAGGCGACGAUCAGUAGGGGUUCUGAGAGGAAGGCCCCCCACAUUGGAACUGAGACACGGUCCAAACUCCUACGGGAGGCAGCAGUGAGGAAUAUUGGUCAAUGGGCGAGAGCCUGAACCAGCCAAGUAGCGUGCAGGAUGACGGCCCUAUGGGUUGUAAACUGCUUUUAUGCGGGGAUAAAGUGAGCCACGUGUGGCUUAUUGCGGGUACCGCAUGAAUAAGGACCGGCUAAUUCCGUGCCAGCAGCCGCGGUAAUACGGAAGGUCCGGGCGUUAUCCGGAUUUAUUGGGUUUAAAGGGAGCGUAGGCCGUCUGAUAAGCGUGUUGUGAAAUGUCGGGGCUCAACCUGGGCAUUGCAGCGCGAACUGUGAGACUUGAGUGCGCGGGAAGUAGGCGGAAUUCGUCGUGUAGCGGUGAAAUGCUUAGAUAUGACGAAGAACUCCGAUUGCGAAGGCAGCCUGCUGUAGCGCAACUGACGCUGAAGCUCGAAAGCGUGGGUAUCGAACAGGAUUAGAUACCCUGGUAGUCCACGCGGUAAACGAUGGAUGCUCGCUGUUUGCGUCUGACGUAAGCGGCCAAGCGAAAGCGUUAAGCAUCCCACCUGGGGAGUACGCCGGCAACGGUGCAACUCAAAUGAAUUGACGGA
RNAcentral lists this ribosomal RNA (905 nucleotides) under uncultured bacterium. RNAcentral describes it as "bacterial SSU rRNA". It matches the Rfam family "Bacterial small subunit ribosomal RNA", at positions 17 to 917 of the family's 1533-position model. RNAcentral also lists the same sequence under 1 other name. The record is from RNAcentral.